Danio rerio (zebrafish) is the source of this 233-nucleotide non-coding RNA. NCBI's taxonomy places the organism in Eukaryota, Metazoa, Chordata, Actinopteri, Cypriniformes, Danionidae. The record is from Ensembl.
UGUUUACAGAUGGAUGGUUUUACUAUCAGUCCAGUUUAUACUUCAUUUCCUCUGAGAAGAAGAGCUGGUCUGAGAGCAGAAGAUACUGUACAGACAGAAGAGGAGAUCUGAUCAUUAUAAACAGCAGAGAGGAACAAAAUUUUGUUCACAAGAAGGCUGGUCUUUCCGGAGCCUGGAUUGGUCUGACUGACCAUGAAAAAGUGGGCAUUUGGAAAUGGGUUGAUGGCAGCACA